UACGUAGGAUGCGAGCGUUGUCCGGAUUCACUGGGUGUAAAGGGAGCGCAGGCGGGUCAGCAAGUCAUUGGUGAAAUUCUCGGGCUUAACCCGGGGACUGCCACUGAUACUACUGAUCUUGAGUAUGGAAGAGGUUGGUGGAAUUCAUGGUGUAGCGGUGAAAUGCGUAGAUAUCAUGAAGAACACCGAUGGCGAAGGCAGCCAACUGGUCCAUUACUGACGCUCAUGCACGAAAGCGUGGGGAGCAAACAGG
RNAcentral lists this ribosomal RNA (253 nucleotides) under uncultured bacterium. RNAcentral's name for it is "partial 16S ribosomal RNA". It matches the Rfam family "Bacterial small subunit ribosomal RNA", at positions 524 to 776 of the family's 1533-position model. The record is from RNAcentral.